RNAcentral lists this ribosomal RNA (259 nucleotides) under uncultured bacterium. Its description in RNAcentral is "partial 16S ribosomal RNA". It matches the Rfam family "Bacterial small subunit ribosomal RNA", at positions 526 to 779 of the family's 1533-position model. The record is from RNAcentral.
CGGAGGGAGCUAGCGUUAUUCGGAAUUACUGGGCGUAAAGCGCACGUAGGCGGCUUUGCAAGUAAGAGGUGAAAGCCCAGAGCUCAACUCUGGAAUUGUCCUUUUAGUACUGCAUCGCUUGUAAUCAUGGAGGAGGUCAGUGGAAUUCCGAGUGUAGAGGUGAAAUUACGUAGAUAUUCGGAAGAACACCAGUGGCGAAGGCGGCUGACUGGACAUGUAUUGACGCUGAGGUGCGAAAGCGUGGGGAGCAAACAGGAUU